ACAAGAGCAGCAGGAAUUGCCCAAACCAAGUAAUUAUUACUCGACUUCUUACGCUUCAGGCUCGGUCUUGGUAAAGGAGUUUCUAGUCCCCUUCUGUGAAUCCUAUUCCUUAUCUGUUUCUUCCCCUUUGAGGCUUUUUCUUCCAUGGGUUUCUCCAUUUCUUGAUCUUCAACCUCUUCUUUCUCUGGUACAGAAGCUUCUGGAACUUCCUCAGGCUCUACAGCGUCGUCCUUCUUUGCUUUCCUCUCACGCUCCUGAAAGACCAAGACGAAGAUGUCAUCCUCCAAAGAACUAUUAUUAUGAGGAAUGAAGAAUUAAUAGGUACUUUACAAGAUAUUAAGUAAUUUCCUUUUCUUUCUUUUCAGCUUCCUUUUGAGCUCUUAUAGCUGCUUUUGCUGCAGACUUUGCCGCCUGUUUCUUUUUCCUUUCCAUGGCUUGUUUGGCUUUAGCAAUCUCUUCUUGCCUUCUCAUCUCCCUAAGCGUAGCUUCAUCAACCGGUUUUGACUCUUCCUUUAGCGGUUUUCCAAGUCCAUACACUUCUUCCUCAUCAGAGAUGGGCUUAGUCUCCUUUGCUUUUCCAGCAUCUUUAGCUUUGUUUCCAGAUUCUUUCUGAGGAACACUAACAUCUGGCUUUGGUGCAGAAACUGGAUCCUCCUUAGGCUGUUUUGUUUUAGCCUUAGGCACAACCUCUGUUUCAGAAGGCAUUGGCUUUG
Molecule: long non-coding RNA, 713 nt
Filed under: Eutrema salsugineum
Lineage: Eukaryota; Viridiplantae; Streptophyta; Magnoliopsida; Brassicales; Brassicaceae
Description: long non-coding RNA (ESAL_LNC001176)
Source: RNAcentral